RNAcentral lists this ribosomal RNA (429 nucleotides) under Gemmatimonadota bacterium. RNAcentral describes it as "Gemmatimonadetes bacterium partial 16S ribosomal RNA". It matches the Rfam family "Bacterial small subunit ribosomal RNA", at positions 355 to 776 of the family's 1533-position model. Lineage: Bacteria; Pseudomonadati; Gemmatimonadota. The record is from RNAcentral.
UAGGGAAUCUUCGGCAAUGGACGAAAGUCUGACCGAGCAGCGCCGCGUGAGUGAAGAAGGUUUUCGGAUCGUAAAACUCUGUUGUUAGAGAAGAACAAGGACGUUAGUAACUGAACGUCCCCUGACGGUAUCUAACCAGAAAGCCACGGCUAACUACGUGCCAGCAGCCGCGGUAAUACGUAGGUGGCAAGCGUUGUCCGGAUUUAUUGGGCGUAAAGCGAGCGCAGGCGGUUUCUUAAGUCUGAUGUGAAAGCCCCCGGCUCAACCGGGGAGGGUCAUUGGAAACUGGGAGACGUGAGUGCAGAAGAGGAGAGUGGAAUUCCAUGUGUAGCGGUGAAAUGCGUAGAUAUAUGGAGGAACACCAGUGGCGAAGGCGGCUCUCUGGUCUGUAACUGACGCUGAGGCUCGAAAGCGUGGGGAGCAAACAGG